GUUACGUGCGGUAAGGUUCAUGGCCGGUGAGGCAAUUGUAAGAACCGGAAAGAGCAUCCCAUUUCACUAUUCAUUCAACAGCAUGCAACUGACCCCGCCCUCUCCAUUACCGUGGUCUUUAUUGGUUGGUUACGAGGUUUUCGCCUUCUUCUCUCAGAUUGGCUGAAGCUGUAGUGAGCAGAGCUCUUGGGCGGAAGUGUCUCACUCUGUGCUCCAUAGUUUACCGGUCGACUCGGCUCCGCUUGGUUUGGUCCAGCUCUGCUCCUUGGCUUCACGUCGUCUCUGUUAUUUUGCAGACCUGAGUUUUUUUUCCCCAACCGAGCAAGAUGUGUAAGAAGAUCAAGGCAGGAGCAGUGGUGGAGAUGAAGGGAGAUGAAAUGACUCGCAUCAUCUGGGAACUCAUCAAGGAGAAACUCAUCUUCCCUUACGUGGACAUGGAACUGCACAGGGGAACGGUGCAGUGUCAUAACCUGUUCUCCCAGGUGGAGGUGGAGUACAACAAAUAUUCAGCAAGUUGUUCUGCAGUGCUGGGAUUUCGAGUUGGACUUGUUUGUACUUGAUUCUCCCUACGGAGAACAAAACAAAGAUGCUAAUGAGAGAGAGUUUGCAGCCAAGGCAUACAUGAAUGUAUGUGUCUGGCACAACAGUGUGUUGUUGCCUUACUGUGAACUGCUGUGGAGAGUGUGGUCUCCUUUUCUUAUCUCUGGUUGGAACUUUGUUCAGGGUUACUUCCUGUUAGCAAUCACUAAAUCUUCUGACUCUGGUUACAAGUCAAGUUUAACUGAAAAGUAAAAAAUAAUAUACAAGGACCAAAGUUUACCCAUCGUGUUGGCCCAUUAACCAUUCAACAGCUAUAGCCUCAAAGGUCAGCAGGUUGAAUCUCAAACGUGGCCUUGGAUGUUUAUAAAGGUAAUCUUCCCUGGUGUCAUUUUACCUACUUCCUUAUACUGAUUAAUUAUCUCUGAAGGGUAAAAAGCCGAGAAAAUCAAUUCUUUUUUUUUCUUUUUUUUUGCACCUGGAAGAUGUGUCCUGGGUGGAAUUUUGUACCUAUUCCUACUUUUCUUCCCCUAGGUUUUAGGGUUGGAUGUUGAUUUCCAAG
This is a long non-coding RNA of Cynoglossus semilaevis (tongue sole), 1099 nucleotides long. RefSeq lists it as uncharacterized. The record is from RefSeq and is a predicted model, not a curated record. The transcript has 5 exons. Lineage: Eukaryota; Metazoa; Chordata; Actinopteri; Pleuronectiformes; Cynoglossidae.